RNA transcript from Cygnus olor (mute swan), 5914 nucleotides. It is a transcript of the gene named ATPase sarcoplasmic/endoplasmic reticulum Ca2+ transporting 2, with no coding region annotated. Lineage: Eukaryota; Metazoa; Chordata; Aves; Anseriformes; Anatidae. The record is from RefSeq and is a predicted model, not a curated record. The transcript has 21 exons.
CCGUAAGUUACAUUAGAGGAGCCGCCGCCGGUGUGCGACCGGACCCAGAGAACCGAAGGGGGGGGGGGGGGGUUGAACGAGCCCGCAGCCGUAACGGCGGCCUUGGGCUGUUGAGGGGAGGAUCGAGGCGGUGUGUGUGUGUGUGUGAGGGGGGGCGUAGCGACCCUUCCCCGGCGGGAGGCAGCGAGGCGGCUGCGCCUUUUUGUGUCCCCCCCCCCCCCCUCCCCGCCUCUCGGAGCCGUUAUCGCCGUCCGCGGGGGCGGCUCGGAGCUCGGGGAGGCGAAAGGCGAGGCGGCGAGGCCAGCCGGCCGCGCUCUGCCCCGCGCCCCUCAGGCCGCAGCGGCUUUCCUCAGCUAGGCUUCGGGGGUGCCCGAAGCCCCGCUCGGCUCCCUCAGAGGGCGUGUGGGGUGGGAGGGGGGGCGGGGGCUUUUUUUUUUUUUUACAUCGGUUUUCCCCCCCCCUCCUUUUUUAAUUUUUUUUUUUUUUUUUUUUUUUUUGCUUCCCCUCCUGCCUCCUUCGGAAAGAGCGAGGCGGUGAGGUGGGCUCGAGGGCUCCUGUGGUGCGGGAGGGGUCUAUGGUGAUAGCACGGGGGCGGUGGGGGACAGAGCCAGGCGCUGAGGGGGCUGAGGAGGGGGCUGAGGAGGGGGCUCGCCGCUGCGCCCGCCGCUGACGAGGAGGAGGAAGAAAAAGAAGAAGCCAGGCACCAUUUGCUGCUCCUUGUCCCAGCCAUGGAGAACGCACACACAAAGACUGUGGAGGAAGUUUUGGCUUAUUUCGGUGUCAACGAAAGCACUGGGCUCAGCUUGGAGCAAGUCAAGAAGCUGAAGGAGAAAUGGGGCUCCAACGAAUUACCAGCUGAGGAAGGAAAAACCUUACUCGAGCUUGUGAUUGAACAAUUUGAAGACUUACUAGUUAGAAUUUUGUUGCUGGCAGCUUGCAUAUCUUUUGUCCUGGCCUGGUUUGAAGAAGGUGAAGAAACAAUCACAGCGUUUGUAGAGCCAUUUGUAAUCUUACUUAUAUUAGUAGCCAACGCAAUUGUGGGAGUGUGGCAGGAAAGAAAUGCUGAAAAUGCUAUUGAAGCUCUUAAAGAAUAUGAACCAGAAAUGGGUAAAGUAUAUCGACAAGACCGAAAGAGUGUUCAAAGGAUUAAAGCAAGGGACAUCGUCCCAGGUGAUAUUGUAGAAGUGGCAGUUGGAGACAAGGUUCCUGCUGAUAUAAGAAUUACAUCUAUCAAAUCUACAACUCUAAGGGUAGACCAGUCAAUUCUCACAGGUGAAUCUGUGUCUGUUAUUAAGCACACUGACCCUGUACCUGAUCCUCGUGCUGUAAACCAAGACAAAAAGAACAUGCUAUUUUCUGGUACUAACAUUGCUGCUGGUAAAGCUAUGGGAGUGGUUAUUGCAACAGGAGUAAACACUGAAAUUGGCAAAAUUCGUGAUGAGAUGGUGGCUACUGAACAAGAGAGAACCCCUCUCCAACAGAAGCUGGAUGAGUUUGGAGAGCAGCUGUCUAAAGUCAUCUCACUUAUCUGCAUCGCUGUUUGGAUAAUAAACAUUGGUCACUUUAAUGAUCCUGUUCACGGUGGCUCCUGGAUUCGAGGUGCUAUCUAUUACUUUAAAAUUGCCGUUGCUCUUGCUGUUGCUGCUAUUCCCGAGGGUCUGCCUGCUGUCAUUACCACCUGCUUGGCUCUUGGAACCCGCAGAAUGGCCAAGAAGAAUGCUAUUGUUAGAAGUCUUCCCUCCGUAGAAACCUUGGGGUGCACCUCAGUUAUUUGUUCUGACAAGACUGGUACCCUGACCACGAAUCAGAUGUCAGUCUGCAGGAUGUUUGUCCUGGACAGAGUCGAUGGAGAUAACUGUUCUCUGAAUGAAUUUACUGUAACUGGUUCAACAUAUGCUCCCAUGGGAGAAGUGCAUAAAGAUGACAAACUUAUUAAAUGUAGCCAGUACGAUGGCCUUGUGGAACUUGCAACAAUCUGUGCGCUCUGCAAUGAUUCCUCUUUGGACUACAAUGAAGCUAAGGGAGUAUAUGAAAAAGUGGGUGAAGCUACAGAAACAGCACUUACCUGUCUGGUUGAAAAGAUGAAUGUAUUUGACACAGACUUGAAAGGACUUUCUCGAAUUGAACGUGCAAAUGCUUGCAACUCGGUGAUAAAACAACUUAUGAAGAAAGAAUUCACUCUGGAAUUCUCAAGAGACAGAAAAUCUAUGUCUGUCUAUUGUACACCAAAUAAACCAAGCCGCACAUCCAUGAGUAAGAUGUUUGUUAAGGGUGCUCCUGAAGGUGUCAUUGACAGAUGUACACAUGUCCGUGUUGGAAAUGCUAAAGUAGCACUGACCACAGGAAUUAAGCAGAAAAUAAUGUCUGUUAUUAGAGAGUGGGGAACUGGUAGAGACACAUUGCGUUGCUUGGCUCUGGCAACCCAUGACAAUCCACCUAGAAAAGAAGAAAUGAAUCUUGAGGACUCCUCAAACUUCAUUAACUAUGAGACCAAUUUGACCUUCGUUGGCUGCGUGGGUAUGCUGGAUCCCCCAAGAAUUGAAGUGGCUUCAUCUAUAAAGCUGUGUAAACAAGCUGGUAUUAGAGUUAUUAUGAUUACUGGUGACAAUAAAGGCACAGCAGUAGCUAUUUGCCGACGCAUUGGUAUCUUUGUGGAAGAUGAAGAUGUGUCUACAAAAGCCUUUACUGGCCGUGAAUUUGACGAGCUCUCACUUGCUGCCCAGAGAGAUGCUUGCCACCAUGCCCGUUGCUUUGCUCGUGUGGAGCCUUCCCACAAAUCUAAAAUUGUGGAGUUUCUUCAGUCUUUUGAUGAGAUUACAGCUAUGACUGGUGAUGGUGUCAAUGAUGCCCCUGCAUUGAAGAAAGCAGAAAUUGGAAUUGCUAUGGGUUCUGGUACUGCAGUGGCUAAAACUGCUUCUGAAAUGGUUUUAGCAGAUGAUAACUUCUCUACUAUCGUAGCUGCUGUGGAAGAAGGACGUGCAAUUUAUAACAACAUGAAGCAGUUCAUCCGUUACUUGAUCUCUUCCAAUGUUGGAGAAGUUGUUUGUAUCUUCUUGACUGCUGCCCUGGGUUUUCCUGAAGCUCUAAUUCCUGUCCAACUGUUAUGGGUAAACCUUGUGACGGAUGGUCUCCCUGCUACUGCUCUGGGCUUUAAUCCUCCUGAUCUUGAUAUCAUGAAUAAGCCACCCCGCAACCCUAAAGAGCCACUGAUCAGUGGAUGGCUAUUCUUCCGUUACCUAGCUAUUGGAUGUUAUGUUGGUGCUGCCACAGUGGGUGCUGCUGCUUGGUGGUUUAUUGCUGCUGAUGGUGGUCCAAGAGUUACCUUUUAUCAGCUGAGCCAUUUUCUGCAGUGCAAAGAGGACAACCCUGACUUCUCUGGUGUUGACUGUGUCGUGUUUGAGUCUCCGUAUCCAAUGACAAUGGCUCUUUCUGUACUUGUCACCAUAGAGAUGUGCAAUGCUCUCAACAGUCUGUCAGAAAACCAGUCCUUAAUGAGGAUGCCCCCGUGGGAGAAUAUCUGGCUGGUGGGCGCUAUUUGCUUGUCCAUGUCACUCCACUUCCUUAUCCUUUACGUGGAACCGCUGCCAAUUAUCUUCCAGAUCACACCUCUGAAUGUGACGCAAUGGCUGAUGGUGUUGAAAAUCUCACUACCUGUCAUUCUGCUGGAUGAAACACUUAAAUAUGUGGCCCGUAACUACCUGGAACCUGGUAAAGAUAGUGUGCGGCCUGCCACCAAACCGUGUUCUUUGUCAGCAUGCACCGAAGGAGUUUCCUGGCCGUUUGUGUUCAUUACUAUGCCCUUGGUUAUCUGGCUUUACAGCACAGACACUAACUUUAGUGAUAUGUUCUGGUCUUGACUGACAUGGUGACAGUUUUACAUUGAAAGAAAAAGUUUAACUUAAUCAAUUUUUUUAUUGUUUAGAGCAACUGUCUAUUUCUGCUGAAUUUUCACAUGAACAUAUUUGCCGGUGAUGGAGGUUUCAUACUCUAGAUUUUGGUUUUUUGCUUUUUUCUGACUUCAGUGGGGGCAAUAUAUUCCUCUUUUAUACACAGUUAAAGUGUCCAUUGACAUGUACAGAGAACUAACACUAUUUUAUGCAAUUUUUUUGUAGAUGAAAAGCAUGUACAGUGUUCUGUUCAAUAGUCAUCAUGUAAAAAAAAAGUAAAUUUUUUUGAGCCAGCGGACACUAUCAAACUAAAUUGGCAGCAGAUUUUAGGGAAUGAAUGUGUGUUGUCUAAAACUAAAAAGAAAAAAAAAAGCAUGUAACUGUUUGUCUUCUGCAUGAUCAUCCAAACUUAAUUUGUCAUACAGUCAGGUUUUAUUUUUUCAUAAGCCGAACUUUCUGCACUGGGUAGAGAGUACUGCUACCUUGGUCAGGAUUUCUUCUGUUUCCCCUCUUCCUGCUCCCUUGCUCUUGGUUCUUGACUGUCCUUGUUUACACCAGUUUCUGUAUGAGGUAUGCCUAAUCUUGCUCGUGCAGAAAAUACCAUUCCAGGUGCAGCCUGCUGGGGUUCUUCCAUAUUCUCAACACACAGUUUUUUUAAAGAUUAUUUAUUUAAGUCUCUAUUGUAUUUUUAUUGUAACAGACCUUAUUUUGCCAGUGUUGCCCAUGAUGCAGGGAUAGGGAGGUUUACUUCUGUCUACUUAAAUCUAAACCAAGCCUUUUUAACCAACAAAGUCUGUUUUAAUCCCAAAAGAGGGUUUAAGUUGAGUUUUAAUACCUGAAUUACAUGUGUCAGAUCUUUUUUUUCUUUCUUCCCCCCUUUAAGAUCAAAACUUGUAAUGAGACCUGGAAAAAUAACUUGCACUGCAUAGCUAGAAAUUGGAUUUCCUACACUUAGGGCACUAAUGCUAAGUUGUAUACAUGGAGUUACUCUGCUGGCCUGUUGUUAGCCUGACUUGAAGUAACAAGCUCGUGUGUGUGUUUUGUAAAAUCUGUAAAUAGCACAUGACCAAAUUGAACAUAUUGUAUAGAACUAUUUUUAUUUUAAUGUGGCACUAACCACCUUCAUUAUUACGGUAAAUGUUAAAGCAUGUUUUCAAAUUCAGUCCUGUAUCAACAACGUGUAAGUCAUUAACAGUCCUAACUGUGGUGUUUUUCUCCAAUGCCUUCCAACUUUCAUCGACUAAACAAUACUGGAGUAAUCGCUUCUUAAACAAUUUUGCAGAAAUGUAAGGUUGUUUUGUUGCGUGCAUGUGUUUUUAGCAACACAUCUACCAAAACUUCUGCAUGUAUCAUGUGUAAAGAUUCUUUGCUUUCCCUAAAAACAAAACUCAUUGUGUUCUCUGUGGAAGAAAUGUGUGGUACCAUUAGGACUUCAGAUGUACAAAUGUGCAAUAUAGUUACAGAAUUGGAAACUCUCUGCAGAGAAGUUUGGGUUCUGUGCAGCAUGGAGAAGAGUUUGUUUAUCUUUGAACAAGAAUCGCCGAGCUGUCAGCCAAUUUUCCAUAUUCCUGUAUGUAAAAUGUCAGUUUAUAAAAUGUACAAUAUCAAAACUGCAUGCCUUCGGUUGUAGACAAAUCUCUGUAUUGUAUCAUCCAAACAUACUACUUAUAACAGCUUAUGUACAAUGCUAUCCUAUUUAUAAAACUCAUUGAAAAGAUUACAGAUGAAUGUUAAACUGUAAGCCUCCAGUUCAUACCUUUGGAUUUUUUUAUCAUGUGUGCAAAUCAACCUGUUUUGCACUGUAAUGUAACUUAUUUAAAUCUAAGGCAGUAAGACAGAUGUUGGUGCAAUACAAAAUAUUGUGAUGCAUUUAUUUAGAAAGCAGCAAAUGACUUAGCCAGUUACCACAACUGCAUGUAUGACCUUUAGAACUUGUAAAUAAGAUCAGUUGUCUAUUUACAUGCUGACAGUAAGAAGCAUCACACCUAGUUUCAUUUGUAUCAGGUAAAUAAAUUUAUUCUACAAUA